UCACACAGGAAGUGUUAAGAAGUUGC
Molecule: non-coding RNA, 26 nt
Filed under: Homo sapiens (human)
Lineage: Eukaryota; Metazoa; Chordata; Mammalia; Primates; Hominidae
Source: RNAcentral